CCUGGAGUAAGCAAUGUUGAAAUGUAACAUAAAAGGUUAAACAUUACAGAGAGUCAGAUCAUCCAUCAUUUGCUUGUUUGUCACAAUACUAGGAGUAGCGGGGAGGAGAACAGGUGAAGAUUGGGAUGAAGUAUACUCUGGCACUGUCUGAAGAAUGUCGCUAGCAAAACAUGUUAAACUUGGUGACAAUAAAUCUGUAGUUAUGUAUUUAUAAGGGCGUUUCUCACAUAAAUCAUGAUAGCGUUUAGCGGUUUUGUCUAAUAAAUGCCGCCGUAGAAGAGUAGCAAAACGCUGAUAUGACUUGUGUACAGUAGUUACCUUAUAAGAAAAGAAAUGGUCUAAUUGCUUGUUAAGACACUGACUAUACUUUUCGUAGUGUUUCCUUCGAUGUUCAUAAUCAUUUCUGAAAGAAAGGAGCUCUUUGUUCAGCACAAAAUGGGAAUCGGUACGGAUAAGAUCCUCGGUCUUUUCAAGAUUUUUGAUGUAGAAAUCUCGAAAGGCUUCUUCAAGACGAGAAAAUCGAGAUUCCAAAACUGAUUUUCUAGCCUUAAUUUGUGAAAGAUUAGCGUCUUCGUCAAUGAGGGAAGAAAUGACAGGCUUUGACUUGUCAUGUUCGAGCGUAGAUAUAUUCUUGGGUUUCCGGCCUCUUUUGCGUAAUGUGGGCUUUACAAUUUCGGGCUUACGGACUUUACGACGUUUGCGACGAUAUGAAGGUAUGGCAGCAGAAUCGUUGGAUUGUGAAGAUGCUAUCGACUCAGGACUGCGAGAGGCGGACGGUACAGAGGAAUUGGUAUCCGCAACUAGUGUUGCGAAAAGACCAGUAGAAGAUGGUUUGUGAAAAUACGAAUCAUCUGUUUGAGAUGAGAAUGUAUGCGACUCGGGAGGCGAAUGAAGCGGUGGAGUAUUUGGGUACUCAAUAUGUUCGCCUUUUUCGAGCAUGAUCAACAAAUGGAACCACAAAAAGGCAGAAUGAAAGAAGAAACCCCUUUUUUACAAUUCAGUACGUAAAUACGGUCCGUAAAUAGGGUGCAAAAAAAUUUCUCAGAGGAGUUUACUAAAUCCUUCGUCGCAUUAAUAAAGUAUCGUCCUUUCACAAUACUGAAUGGCGAUACCAGCGGUAUUUUACGAUCCAAAAGAAAAUAGCUGUUUAUCUCAACAAAAAAGAAAAAAUUUCAAAAAAAUUGUAAGAAACUUUGAAUAAGAACAAGUAAUAAGUAGAACAAGUAUUAAUGAUAAACAGAAAAACAAGGUGGUGUUUAUUUAUAUUGUGAGGUAUAAUAACGUCAAUCACUGUACCACUUUCAACGUCUUAAUCGUAAUAUCGGAAAAGUGGUAGGGUAAUGUAUUGAAAAAAACAAUUAAUGUGUGCAAUACCAAAAUAUGCAAAAAAGAAGAGAAUACGCAAUAAAAUAGGUUCUUCUUUGUAUUUAUUCAACGUAUAACAAAAUUAAAUAUAAUUGAAGAAACGUUGAAAACUGGCUCACAGCGGAGAAGGAAUUUGUCAGUUUAUUGAC
Molecule: non-coding RNA, 1514 nt
Organism: Schizosaccharomyces pombe (fission yeast)
Lineage: Eukaryota; Fungi; Ascomycota; Schizosaccharomycetes; Schizosaccharomycetales; Schizosaccharomycetaceae
Source: the annotation of a GenBank genome assembly